This 1429-nucleotide long non-coding RNA is filed under the name Bos mutus (wild yak). RNAcentral describes it as "lncRNA (ENSBMUG00000023162.1)". The record is from RNAcentral. Lineage: Eukaryota; Metazoa; Chordata; Mammalia; Artiodactyla; Bovidae.
CAGCAAGAUCUCCAUGUACAGCUACAUCUUUAGGGCCGCUCGGGUUAAUAUAUGUCGUCAGAGGCUCCUCACGCCAAUCCCGGGGCGGCGGGGGCGGCGCCUCGCGCUCUCCGCAAUAAAACUUUUUGAUGUUCUUGUUGCUAAUUGCCGAGGUCCUCGUCCAGGAUUGGCUGCCCCUUCAUAACCAGAAGAUAAUUAAAACGAGGGUGGGGGGAGCAGGGUUAAAAAAACUUUUUUAUCAGCCGGAGGUUAAUGCAAGUGUUUAACAGAUGCUUCACUAUUAAAUAUUUUCCCCCCAGGUCUCAAAUACUGAAGAAUCUUAAACCAGGGACGCCAGCCCUAGCGCAGACCUUGGGCGGUUUCAAAGCGCAGGGCACCUCGAUUCCCCGAAUUUGUUGUGUGGCCGGUAUCGGUGUUCCCCAGGUUUAACUAGCCUGUCUGGUAAGUAACUGAAUAUUUUUUACAGCGUGUUCAGAGCUUAUUUUUCAGUUUUUAUGAACAAACAUAUAAAUACAUCUCCGCAUUCCUACCUCUCCCAUAAAAGCGGGCAUGUGUGGAAAGCAGGUUUAGUUAUCGGAGGGGAACCAUUAAACACCAGUUUAAGAGGCAGGCCGGGAGGACGGCUCGUGGAUGUUUAGACUGCUGGCCUUGGUGAUCUUGAACACAUUAGAACGGAAAAUGGAUCUCCACUUGUAAGUCACCGGGCCGCAGGGCACCGGGACCGCGGCGCCCGAGUGGCUUCAGCCGUUUUGAGAAGAGGUUGGGGAUUGGGGAGGCGGGUGGACGAUGGCAGGAGCUGAAAUGAUCCCGGGGGUUGGCCGGCAGCCUUGGACCGAGGCUGAUGUGGAGCUGAAUAUUCCGCCCGAAGGGUCGGUGUGGAAAAGAGUGUCAACAGGAGCCCAAGGGCCGUAAAUUAGAGGGAGCCCACGCGGGGUGUGCCUGCGCCAGCACGGGCGCUGCGGCCUGGGACUCGCUGCUGGGCCUUGCCAGGCUCUACCGGAGGAGACCAAGCACCCCACGGUGGGCUUCGUCCCAGGGAGGCAGGCAGAGUCAGGCCCCAGGCUGCAGAGUCCCAUUCCAAGGACUUGGUAAGGACAGUCCUUUGCUUGCGUGCUGCCCACUCUUUGGUGGGUACAGGCUUGGGGAUGGAAGGCCUGGUCUGCAGGAAUAGAGGGCAGGGUUUGGGGGUACCCAGAGCCCUGGGCACAGCUUUGACAAACAUGUUUUAGGUUUUCUGUGGCCAGGCUGUAGGAGAAGAAAAGGAACCCAGAGGGGGCUGUAGAAAGUUGGCUGAGCGUCACCACGAGGGCCCAUCCUGUCCCUUCAGCAAAGGGUCAGUUUUCUGGGAUGCCCCCAGCAGAGGUCUUGAAACCGAGAAUAGGGGUGGGGAGUGGCUAAAACCAGGUAUGCUGGGCCCUUUGGGCUCAGA